RNAcentral lists this ribosomal RNA (475 nucleotides) under uncultured bacterium. Its description in RNAcentral is "bacterial SSU rRNA". It matches the Rfam family "Bacterial small subunit ribosomal RNA", at positions 329 to 801 of the family's 1533-position model. The record is from RNAcentral.
GAGUGGACUCCUACGGGAGGCAGCAGUGAGGAAUAUUGGUCAAUGGAUGAAAAUCUGAACCAGCCAAGUAGCGUGCAGGAUGACGGCCCUAUGGGUUGUAAACUGCUUUUAUGUGAGAAUAAAGUUAGGUAUGUAUACUUAUUUGCAUGUAUCACAUGAAUAAGGACCGGCUAAUUCCGUGCCAGCAGCCGCGGUAAUACGGAAGGUCCAGGCGUUAUCCGGAUUUAUUGGGUUUAAAGGGUGCGUAGGCCGUUUGAUAAGCGUGCUGUGAAAUAUAGUGGCUCAACCUCUAUCGUGCAGCGCGAACUGUUGAACUUGAGUGCGUAGUAGGUAGGCGGAAUUCGUGGUGUAGCGGUGAAAUGCUUAGAUAUCACGAAGAACUCCGAUUGCGAAGGCAGCUUACCGUAACGUUACUGACGCUUAAGCACGAAGGUGCGGGUAUCGAACAGGAUUAGAUACCCUUGUAGUCCUGAGU